RNAcentral lists this transfer RNA (57 nucleotides) under Ovis aries (sheep). It matches the Rfam family "tRNA", at positions 8 to 63 of the family's 71-position model. Rfam says of the family: Transfer RNA (tRNA) molecules are approximately 80 nucleotides in length. Their secondary structure includes four short double-helical elements and three loops (D, anti-codon, and T loops). Lineage: Eukaryota; Metazoa; Chordata; Mammalia; Artiodactyla; Bovidae. The record is from Rfam by way of RNAcentral.
UGGCUCAGACAGUAAAGUGUCUGCCUGCAAUGCAGGAGACCCAGGCUCGAUUCCUGG